This 245-nucleotide unclassified non-coding RNA is filed under the name rhizosphere metagenome. RNAcentral's name for it is "partial ribosomal RNA internal transcribed spacer region". The record is from RNAcentral.
GUAGGUGAACCUGCGGAAGGAUCAUUAUUGAAUGAACAUGGAGUCGGUUGUCGCUGGCCCCUUCACUGGGGCAUGUGCACGCCUUCUCUAUUCAUCCACACACACCUGUGAACUUGUGAGACGGAUAGUAGUCCCCUCGGGGGUGAGCUCCGUCUGCUAUACAUAAACUCCAGUAAAUAAAUUUGAAUGUCAUCUGAUGUAACGCAUCUAUAAACUAAGUUUCAACAACGGAUCUCUUGGCUCUC